RNAcentral lists this ribosomal RNA (251 nucleotides) under uncultured bacterium. RNAcentral describes it as "partial 16S ribosomal RNA". It matches the Rfam family "Bacterial small subunit ribosomal RNA", at positions 526 to 779 of the family's 1533-position model. The record is from RNAcentral.
CGUAGGUGCGAGCGUUAUCCGGAAUUAUUGGGCGUAAAGAGCUCGUAGGCGGUUUGUCGCGUCUGUCGUGAAAGUCCGGGCUUAACCCCGGAUCUGCGGUGGGUACGGGCAGACUAGAGUGCAGUAGGGGAGACUGGAAUUCCUGGUGUAGCGGUGGAAUGCGCAGAUAUCAGGAGGAACACCGAUGGCGAAGGCAGGUCUCUGGGCUGUAACUGACGCUGAGGAGCGAAAGCAUGGGAGCGAACAGGAUU